UACACAUUACAUUCGGUGCCUCCUCUUC
This 28-nucleotide non-coding RNA is filed under the name Rattus norvegicus (Norway rat). The record is from RNAcentral. Lineage: Eukaryota; Metazoa; Chordata; Mammalia; Rodentia; Muridae.